This is a long non-coding RNA of Lolium perenne, 439 nucleotides long. RefSeq lists it as uncharacterized. Lineage: Eukaryota; Viridiplantae; Streptophyta; Magnoliopsida; Poales; Poaceae. The record is from RefSeq and is a predicted model, not a curated record.
CAAUGGUGAUCUAAAUUACGUAUCAGUGCCAUGUCCUUGCUCUGACCUGUGAAUGGCAUCAAGGAUUCAUCACCUUCAGUAGAUAUCUCCCUGAUGAUUCCAGGAGAUCUCUCGAUGAUGCCCUCGAAUGCUUUCAGGAGAUUUCUGAUCACAGGUGGGUGCGAAAUCUCUAGAUUUCUAGAAUUUAUAUUUGAUGUAAUUUUAUUUCCUUUCUGAUGCUCUCGAAUUAUGGGCGGUGAUGAUGCCAUGAAGUAUGGUGCGGUGAUGGAAUGUAAUCCCUGUAAUUCUUGUUCCAUGUGAUUCUUGUUGCCUGAUGGUACCCUGAAAGUAUGGUGCAGUGAUGGAAUGUAAUCCCACGAAUUAUGGUCGGUGAUGGUGGACAACAUUUAUGGCACGGUGAUGGUUGUCAGAAAAUUUGUAAUCCCUUGAAUUAUGGUCA